RNAcentral lists this ribosomal RNA (200 nucleotides) under uncultured eukaryote. Its description in RNAcentral is "partial 18S ribosomal RNA". The record is from RNAcentral.
GAGUACUACGUCGGCGCGAUCAACCGGGUGGGCAUCGAGCCGCUAGGCGACGAUGACUUCUACGGACAGUCCUACUUCGUAGACCCCGAAGGCAACUACGUUGGAGACAAGGCCGAUCCGUACAAGUCCGAGCUCAUCGUGCGUGAUCUGGACUUGGAUCUGAUCACUACCGUGCGCAACCGGUGGGCGUUCUACCGCGA